UACGGGGGGGAGCAAGCGUUGUUCGGAUUUACUGGGCGUAAAGGGCGCGUAGGCGGUCAGCACAAGUCAGUUGUGAAAUCUCCGGGCUUAACUCGGAAAGGUCAACUGAUACUGUGCGACUAGAGUGCGGAAGGGGCAACUGGAAUUCUCGGUGUAGCGGUGAAAUGCGUAGAUAUCGAGAGGAACACCUGCGGCGAAGGCGGUUUCCUGGACAGUUACUGACGCUCAGGCACGAAAGCAUGGGGAGCAAAAGGG
RNAcentral lists this ribosomal RNA (255 nucleotides) under uncultured bacterium. RNAcentral describes it as "partial 16S ribosomal RNA". It matches the Rfam family "Bacterial small subunit ribosomal RNA", at positions 524 to 776 of the family's 1533-position model. The record is from RNAcentral.